Small nucleolar RNA from Takifugu rubripes (torafugu), 86 nucleotides. Ensembl annotates it as small nucleolar RNA MBII-202. Its record names the gene SNORD68. Lineage: Eukaryota; Metazoa; Chordata; Actinopteri; Tetraodontiformes; Tetraodontidae. The record is from Ensembl.
UGAUGACAAAUCUCCGGAAUCCCUGUAUUUACUUGAUGAAUACUUGAACCCAUUAAUCUGAUACUGACUGCAUAUUUCCUGUCAUC